AAAGAGAUUUAGGUGGCUCACAAUCAUUUAAAAUAGCCUAUUUUUAUUUGGUUGUUGUCCAGUGUUAAACUUUAGAUUUUAUAUUGAAUAAAUAUUUCCAAAGAUUUGUCAAGGUUUCUUCUAGAAGUAUAUUUAACAAAUAUAUACUGUCAGUAAGUUCACAGAUCCAGUAUAUACCUGCUCACAGUAUUUAUGAACUAAAAUUGUUUGAUUUAGGGUUUUAGAUAUAGCCUUAAUAUAAUAAGACUAAGGAAUAUACUCAAAGUUGCUGUCACUGGAUUUGACAAUCAAAUAUAGAUUUUUUGACAUACACCAAAACAUAAAUAAUAUAGUAUUUCAGGAACAGUCAAAUUUGAGCAUUGAUAUUGAUCUCUUUAUAGUGUUACGUUUGACAUCACAUUUUCCUGGCUGGGAUUUUCUACAAAGUCAUUUACUUGGAUACUGAAAUGGCUUUUGGUAUAUCAUAACAAAUAGUAUAGUUUUGAAGCGUUUAAUUUAUCCUUACAUCCCGCUUUGUUAAUAAUACUAUUUUACCUUUAAUAUUGUGUUUAGUACCUUGGUUGUGUACAAUACAAGUAAAACAAUAACAUUUUUGGUUUUGACACACAACAAUGCCAAGAAAGAGUAAGAGGUCACAAGCUCAGAGCCUGCGCUGGCAGCGGACCAAAGAGAAUCCCUGUGCAACAACGACUGACGGAGCAGAAUGUGUUGGUCCUGAGAGCAGUGGAGCGGUAAAGAUGUCUGCAGAGUCUCAUCCUGGAAGUGUGAAACAGGGAGUUCCAAGUGAGUCACAGGUAUCAUAUGCAGACGCAGUAAAGAGUGGACGUCACAGUGAGGAUCCA
This is a long non-coding RNA of Gasterosteus aculeatus aculeatus (three-spined stickleback), 842 nucleotides long. The record is from Ensembl. NCBI's taxonomy places the organism in Eukaryota, Metazoa, Chordata, Actinopteri, Perciformes, Gasterosteidae.